GCGGCAGGAGGAGGAGGAGGAGGGCGGGCGGGACGGCGCGGCGGCGGCCCCUCGGCCUCGCACACACGGCUCGGCGCGCUGCCGCUCGCACUCACACACACACGCACGCACCGAAAGGGGGAGGAACCGGGACUCGCCCUUCCUCCCCCUCCCGGCGGCGGCGCCCGGCCCAUUAACCCCCGCGCCCCCGGGCGCUCCGCCGCGCUGCCUCCCGCAGGCGCCGCCCCUCCUCCGCGCGGCGGCAGCGGCCGGCGGCGGCCGCUCGGCGCCAACGGCGGCCGCGCGCCCCGCCGCGGCACCGCGCUUCCCGCCGCACCUCGCCGCCGCCUCUCCCGCGCUCCCCCUUCCGCGGAGGGGUUGGUACAUCCCGUUUUGCUGCAGUCGAGCCCGUUGGUCAGCAGCGGGAGGGGAAGGUAAGCCACAAGUGAAACCAGAUCAUCCUACAGUAUUGGUUCUGUGGUUUGACACUGUCUGGAAGGGACUGAGAUGUGCUGCUGCGACAGUGACUCCAGUUUGGCUUCCAGCUCCCAACUUUCUGCUACUCCUUCUCCUUCAUUUUGCAAGGUAGUGGCCUGAUGGAGAAAUAUCCUUUCCUGGUGGUGCAGGAAGCAGAAGCAGGAGGUUUGGGUGUGCAUCCCCAUGAGAGGUUCACGUGAGCAGAGAGUGCUUUACCUUCCCUGCCCCACGGACAGCACGCGGCAUGCACCUUGCAAAUACCAGUUUUUUGCUCUCUGAAUCAUUUGGCCAACUUUCUGACCCUGCUGACUGGCAGCAGAGCAAUGGGAGUUUAGGGCUGCCACCUUCCAAAUGACUAUCGCUGUGCACAAAUCCAGUACUGCCCCUAACAGGAUCCAAUAUUCACCAGUCGCUGCCUCAGGGGAAACCACUGAGUUACAACAAAAACUGUGCAGUACUUUGACACAAAUCUAAAAAGCCACUAAAAUGAGUAUCAAUCGCUCCUCUUCAUUCAGACUGCUCUGGAAAGACACAUGACUUUGGCACAAAACCCAAGUUUCCUUUCACGGUCCAAGCCAGGUGACUAAUGAGUGUAAGUCAGCCCAUGCAAAGCAGCCACACGCACUGGCUGGCCCUUCUCACCCUGACGAUAACUGCUGGAAGAGAAGAAGUCUCUGCUGACUUCCCAGCCCAGCAUCAGCGCGUUCGCUGGACACAGCACGGCAUCACACGGCAGAGAUUCACAUGGUCGCUUGUACUGUGCGCUGGUUUUGGCCGGCUUCUGUGAGAAACAGUGCCUACAGCAGGAGUACUUUAUUUGCUUAAAACACCACCUGGCAUUUAAACUUUCACUCAGUACUGUGUGUUCGGCAUCAGAGGCUUUAAUGAAAUAACGUUUGUUUUCGAUUUUAGCAAAGCUAGGUCUGGCUGCUAAAGCUGACAUUCAACAGCUCUUUCCACGCUAACCUCUGCCGUCCAAUCUGCGGGUGCUCUUUGCUUUUUUUUAAUUCAAGAUGAGCUAAAUUCUGCCCUGCCAGUGCUGUCUGUCUCUCCGUUGCUCUGUCUCCGCGGGAGGAAAGGCUGCCGUGACAGCUUGCUGCCCCGGCACCCUCCCCCUUGCUCCAUGCACUUCGCACGCUUUGCUCGGGCCAAGCUCCCAAACCGCAGCGUUAUUGUCCUUGCUCGUUUUUUGUUUCUGGCGGCACCCACUGCGUGCCGCACGCACGCAAGCCUAACACAUCACACUGGCCCUGACCUCAAGUGUUUACACUUUGACGGGCAAAGGAAAAGAGGAGGGGAAUUCAGGGGGGAAAGCAAGCAGGGGGAAUGUUGUAUACUCAACGGCUGAGCACAAGUUCGGAAGUCAUUACUUGCCUCUUCAGAUGCUUAAUAUGGAUUUCAUACUUGAUCACUGCACUAAAUACCAACUUUUUUUAAAAGUACCUGUUUUGGAGGAUUGCAGAACACUCUGACUAAUUGCUUCUCCUAUGAUUUCUCAUGUGCUCUUCAAACAUAAGUCAGUAAAGGUGAAACUGUGGCAAAGAGGUGGAUCAGACUCUGCUUCCUUGCUUGCUCUAAAUCAGAGCUUUAUCUUUAACUGUGUACCUUAUUAUAUGGUACCUUAUUAUAUAAAAAGCAGAGGAAUACCCCAUGCAGACCUACAAGCCCUCAUUUUGCAAAUACGUCAUUAGAGGUCCACGUCAAUGAAAAGAACAAUCUGAAUGGUAGCCUGCAGAGUCCCACUGAAAUCACUGUGGGUAAUUUCAUCUUUAUAGUUCAUCUACUCUCUAUAACUGAGAGACAGAAUAUUAAUGCGUCUAAAGACCACGAGGAUAUCCAUUCACUACGCAGCCAUGAAAGCUCCAGGGCUGGUGCCAGGGCAAUGCAUACUGCAACGCUACUGUUCAGCAAAAAGGCAAGUGUUUAGACUCUGCCACUUUCUGAGGUCGAGAAUAGCAGGUUAUAAGACUGCCAGAGCAAAAGUCUUCAGCACUCAGGUCUUGGGACCUACCCUCUAUCUAGUUUACCGAUUUAUAUUAACCUCAGUUUCCUAAUCCAUACAGUGAAGAAAACAGCUCUAGAGGUUGCAGUGAAGGCAUCAGCAUUACAGCUGAAUUGCAAGUCUCUCAGCACAGUUUACUUUUGUUUUCUACAAGGGCACUCAGGUGCAAGUAAUUAAAUAUUUGCAAAGUACUCCAAACCCUCAGGAAAGCUGUAAGCAGAGGACAAAGCCAGACUUUGCAAUUUCUUUGCUUAUGAAAUUCUUUUUUUCCCUAAACCUCCGUUCUCUUAUUAAAAGAGCAAAAAACCCCACCUCCCUCACUCUAGCUCUUUUCAAAAUUCAACAGGAGUCCGAGCACUGCUUCAGCCUGUGGUGUCUCUUCUCCCCACUGUCUGACUCAGACUUGUCUCAUCCUCAUUCUUAUCUUGCUACCCUGGGAAUUAAUCUUCCUGUGCACAUAUGGCACAGCAGAGACAGUGCAGUGCUUCCUAGCACACCUACCGAAGCCUUCUGAAGAAAUAACUAAUGACUUCGUGGCUCUUGUUUGACUGAAAAUAGAUUGCUAUGGGCCUGCUCCUGCUCCUUAUGCCACUUGGUAGUAUAAUUUCCAUUACCUUCAUUGGUACUGGAUCAUGCUUUUAGCUGGACAUUAGUGCAGUAAACAGCAUGGUCUGGAGAUUUUCAAUCUGUUAAGAUCACAGCUUUCUCCAGACACUGGGCUGCUCAGAGACUAACCCCCUCCUUCCCAUGAAAUGAUUCACACAGCACUGGUUUUCUUCUGCCUUUCCCAAUUAGAUCUCAAAGCGGUGUUAGAUUAAAACUAAUCCCAGACCUCUGUCCUUCUGGUUAGUGCUAAUUUGGACCAGUUUCCUCAUCCAGUUCAAACACUCGUCCCAGCACAAGUGCAAGGGCACCAGGAAGGGGAGCGGGAGAAAGCAGAAUCGCUUUGUACAGUGGCAGUGUGCAGAAGACUAGAGCCUAAAUUUUUCUAACAAUUGCUAUGAGCAGGGCUGGAUGCAUCCAGGAUCUGGUUGAGGGUAGAAGGGAGAAAAAUGGGGAGAAGGCAGCUGCACAGCCACGUCUUUGUCCCGAGCUGGGAAGUGCUAAAUGAGGGUGAGCUCCAGCCUUUGUGUCCCACUGCCAAGUCUAUGCUUCCCACAUAUGAGGAAUCAAAGUCACCAUCUUAUCACUUUCUUCUUCCAGCACAGCAGCUGGGUAAGAUUAAAACCAAAUGAAGUCCUGCCUUUUUGCAGCGAUUCUUCAUGCUCUUACCAAUAAAGUAAGUACUGUCACAAUACCCAGCAAUGAAAUAGGGCUAAAGAGGAGGGAUAUCACGUCUUUCAUGAUGGAGCAAGGAGGGACCCUGAGAUGCUUCCCUCCUUUCCUUCCCUCCACCAAAGUAUAGGUGUACUACAGGUAUGUCUACAACGUCUUAGAUACUAGUGUUGCCAUGACUGUGGAAUUCAUAGACAUAGUAAGCGUGCCACAAGCUCAAGAGAGCUAUGGACACUUUGGCCCAUGCUAAUGGGAGAAGGAAUUCAGUCAGAAAUGAAUCCCUACUUUGUAAAAAUAAACUUGAAGAGACUUUAAACACUUACCUGGAUAGACAUGAGUCAUGCAGAAUGAGCAAUACUCAUCCCGGGAUAUUCAGUGAUCCUAUCAUUUUGGAGGUCCCCUGAAACUUCUAAUGAUCUUUUCCCACAAUCUUAUCAUUCUCCUUACUGUCCCUAAGUAAAAUUCUGACUCGUGGGAGGGGAUUAAACUUCAGUGAAGUCAAUGGCAUUGGAUCCACCAAGACCAGGCCUGAUUUCACACCUGUGUCGCCAAGCAUUUACACCAGCUGCACUCAUUUCUGAUAUAACUCUGCAUCAACCACACGGCACAAGAAUGGCCUUGUGAUUCCGGCUUCUGCUCACAGGCUGCAAACCUUCCUCAUGCGCUUGCCUAGAGCUCCUUCAAGACUAGCCCCAAAAAUGGGCCACAGGAAGGUUUCCUCAGCCCGGCUGUGCAACGGGCUGCAGCUGAUGUCUCCUCUCAACACCCAGCCCUGCUGCAAGCUUCUGGCAGCAGCAAGCACGACUGCCCUUCAACACUGUAUGCUUACAUUUUCCACAGGGUUGGCCAGGCAAUUUUCCUCUCCAGGAAAUCCUUCCCCUCCCCUGUCAUCCAACCCUGGCUUCACCCCACGGCCCAUCCCAGGUCACUAUUACAGCAAGCCUCCAGCACAUGACAGCAGUCACAUUCCUGGUGUGUUUUACUCUUCAGAGCUGUCAUCCUGCUAUAAAGCAUCUGAAAACAGUAGAAGGCAAAAGUAUUCAGCAUGUCGAGAGAGUGAGCACCUAAACAGCAGACUCUCUGGAGCAGGGGAUGACCUCCUGCCAGAGGUAAAGCCCUACGCAGGUAGCACAGCAGAGAAGUCCUUGUCCCCACUUCUCACCCAGUCACACCCAGUCUCUGCCCUGUACCCAGCUUCCCCACGCAAACUAUAAAUAUAUUUUCAUUUUCUGGCUUGUAAAUCCUUCUAUUCAGAAAAUAAGUUUUCUUUCCCUCCAACCCAUAACCUAAUUUAAAAUUUCCUCUCCCUUUUCAAAAUCCUAUUUCUUUCCUGAUACAAAUACUUCACCUAACUCCUACUCUUCUCCAUGAUACCAUCUCUUGCACACUGCCUUAAGUUCCCCUGGCUUUUACUGCUCCUCACCAAGCUCUGAACCUUCGCACUUCUAUUUUUCACAUUGAUUCCCCUUCUCAUCUUUCUAGUUCUUCUAACGUCCCAAUGGAAACAGCUUCCAACCUGCACCAAGAAUGGUCCUGCAUGAGCCCUUCCAGAUCCUCUCUUCCUGUACCAUGCAUGUAAUUCACUUGAUCCACCUCUGAACAACACAGAAGGCUUCUGCCCACUCUAAGUGGGCAAAGUGCACAAAACCAGCCAUUCCAAAUUGCUGUGCAUGUCUCUGACUGACGUUCCAGGUUUCCCCAUCUAUAUCUUCAGGCAGACUCUGCGUCCUGGUCCCAUCAGGCUGAGGAUGCUUACUCAGCAACAGGCAUCCAAACCGAUGGCUGACACCUUUGUAUCCUGUCCUCAGCCAGACUGAAGCAAGUCAGCCAGGUUAUGCCAAGCAAAACUGCAUGCUGCAGAGUGGCUCACCACCUCUGAUGGUGCAGCAGGAGAAGGUGGGUUGCUGUAGCCAAAGGAAGAUGACUAAACACAGGCUGUAGUAGUAAGGUGAAGACACUGCUGGUUGUGGACCAUUGCUCUGCCACAUAUUCCAUUAAAAACACAAUCAGGCUUUGACCUGGUUUUCCUUCUGCUAAUUCCAAGAGCAGUCGUCAAAUCUCAUCUUUAAAAUAUAGCCCAUCGUGACCCUAGUCUUGGGCCAAUGGUCUAAUGAAGCCACCCAGAACAACUGGGAGUUGCUCACAGAUACGUGGACAACAAACCAGCCACCAAAUUUGGUGACUUAGGGCAGGGAAUCAAACUCAUUCUGUGAGGAGAAACAAAUCCUCUUUGUCACCUCAGCUGUUCAAUUACAACAACAUGCCACUUGCGUUCCACCACAGGCUUCAACUGGUGGCCGUGGAAAGCCACCACAGAGACACAGAACAGUCUUUUAUACAGAAAUUAAACCUGCACAUUGCACGGCAGAGGUGCAGUACCGUACUUCAGUGUUACUCAGUGAGGAAAUCUGAUCUAUUUAGAGAGAUCUCUUUGCCCUUUUUGUUCUGUCUUUUCCACCCUAUUACACCAGUCCUUUUCCUUUUGCAGGUGUCUCCCUCCUUUUUCCUCCAUAUUUCCUUCCCUCCAUCAAGUGUCCAGAGACUUCGGUCCCAUUCCUUGCCCACCAGCAUCAGCUGUGGACAUGUAGCUCACACUGACACUCCAAGCACCCUCGUUUCAUAUUCAAGUUAACACUCUAAAGAGGGGCAGGGAUCACAAAUCCCAGAGCCACAGUCUCAAUCUGCAGACUCAGGAGGACUGAACUAGGACAACACAAUAUCUGAAAGCUCAGAAAUAACAGAUGCAAAGUCAACAAUACGAAUGUUAAUAUACUGCAAGGGGAGAAAGGAGAAACAGCUCCCACUGCCUAACAUGCCAGAGAAGAAAAGCAUGGGCAGGUCUGAAAUACCUGAUCUUGGCUUCUCCUCCUGAGAUGAGGCAGUGAGAAAGCUCCAUCAAUUCCUAGAAGAGGAUCUGCAUUAGGGAACAACUUGUGGGCAGUGAUCUCACCAUCCACCAUCUUGUUUUCCGCAAGACUACAACGGCCAAGGACAGGAACCGUACAGAAGACCCUUCUGCACAUUUAUCCAAGGCCUCAACCUCAGCAGACCACGUGCAGAGGGGCAGACACAGAAGGGCUGAGGGAGGGAUCCUGAAGGCAGGAGGGGAGGGGAGAUUGAGGGCAGGAUGGGUCCACCGGCCAGGACCAGACCAAGCAGUGGUGAGGCCGUUGCAAUUGCCCUGGCAGAGCCGCUCCAACACCGCCCUUCAACCUGGAGCAGAUGAUUACUGCAACCUCCACCCCACGGCGCAGCUGGAAACACCGACACGUUCAGAGCUUUAAAGCAGGGGGAAAAUACAGUCAGCCUGAAAUGUUUUAAGUGCCAAGGGCAGCGAGCACCCAGGGAGAGCACCCAGGGAGACGUCUUUGCGGGCCGAGCGGAGCAGGCACUUCCCGGCUAUGCUGCCCGCGGGCACCAGGCGCUUGCGGCCGCCCCGGCCACGCGCAGCUGCGCAGGGCACCCGUUACGCAAGCACUGACUCCGAUAGCACCCGGCAAAGCCGGCGCUGCAAAGGCUGCAGCGAACAACUGUCAAAUGAUAAGAGACUUCAGUCACUGCUGACUGAAGCUGGAUUUAACCUAGCUGGGAAAGGCUUUGUAUCUCAUUACCGCCCCACUGCGCCAGGCACUUCCCUCCCCAGCUGCACUGUUUUGACCUCAUUUCUGAAAAUAAACCAUGAGCUGUUUUCUCCUUUUACCAAGUAA
Molecule: long non-coding RNA, 7440 nt
Organism: Dromaius novaehollandiae (emu)
Lineage: Eukaryota; Metazoa; Chordata; Aves; Casuariiformes; Dromaiidae
Exons: 3
Source: RefSeq, a predicted model, not a curated record